GAUUAAAUGGCUGAAUUUAGGCGAUAGGCUGUAAAUCUAUUUAUGAGAAAUUUUCUCUUUAAUCA
This 65-nucleotide transfer RNA is filed under the name Halidaya aurea. RNAcentral's name for it is "tRNA-Tyr". Lineage: Eukaryota; Metazoa; Arthropoda; Insecta; Diptera; Tachinidae. The record is from RNAcentral.